RNAcentral lists this ribosomal RNA (789 nucleotides) under uncultured bacterium. Its description in RNAcentral is "bacterial SSU rRNA". It matches the Rfam family "Bacterial small subunit ribosomal RNA", at positions 8 to 796 of the family's 1533-position model. The record is from RNAcentral.
AGAGUUUGAUCCUGGCUCAGGAUGAACGCUGGCGGCGUGCCUAACACAUGCAAGUCGAGCGAGAUUUAGUGGAGUGGAGACUUCGGUCAAAGUGAAACUGAUGAAAGCGGCGGACGGGUGAGUAACGCGUGGGCAACCUGCCCCAUACAAAGGGAUAGCCACUGGAAACGGUGAUUAAUACCUUAUAAGUCGGUAGUCUCGCAUGAGACAGCCGACAAAGAUUUAUCGGUAUGGGAUGGGCCCGCGUUUGAUUAGCUAGUUGGUGAGGUAACGGCUCACCAAGGCGACGAUCAAUAGCCGACCUGAGAGGGUGAUCGGCCACACUGGAACUGAGACACGGACCAGACUCCUACGGGAGGCAGCAGUGAGGAAUAUUGCACAAUGGGGGAAACCCUGAUGCAGCAACGCCGCGUGGAGGAUGACGCAUUUCGGUGUGUAAACUCCUUUUAUAUGUCAAGAAAAUGACGGUAGCAUAUGAAUAAGCACCGGCUAACUCCGUGCCAGCAGCCGCGGUAAUACGGAGGGUGCAAGCGUUACUCGGAAUCACUGGGCGUAAAGGACGCGUAGGCUGGCUGACAAGUCAGAUGUGAAAUCCUAUGGCUUAACCAUAGAACUGCAUUUGAAACUGUUAGUCUAGAGUAUGGGAGGGGGAGAUGGAAUUAGUGGUGUAGGGGUAAAAUCCGUAGAUAUCACUAGGAAUACCUAAAGCGAAGGCGAUCUCCUGGAACAUUACUGACGCUAAGGCGUGAAAGCGUGGGGAGCAAACAGGAUUAGAUACCCUGGUAGUCC